GGAGGCGGCGCGCGCGAGAGGAGGCGGCGCGCGCGAGAGGAGGCGGCGCGCGCGGAGAUGCCCCGCGGCGGCCGCGCUUGCGGUCCCAAGAGGAAGAGGAAUUGGGAUACAGAAUACCCAUCCUUUCCAGAAGAGAGGCCACUGCAAUCCCAAAGAACGGGUCUCAGGACAGUGGGAGCAGCUGCCUCUCUAUCUGAAGCGUGGCUCAAAUGUGGAGAAGGAUUUCAGGAUACUUCUGGGAAUCAGGUAAAAGAGUCAUUGAUAGCUGAAAAGGCAACUACUACAGGAAAGCACCUUGAAUUUUCUCCAAGACCGCAAAAAGAAACUGCCACAUAUAAGGGUAUCAGUGAGCUUACAGAUAUAACAUGGAGUUCCAGUGGAAGUGAUCUGUCAGAUGAAGAUAAGAUACUUUCUAAAUCACAGAAAGAUAAUGGACAUGGCUCUAGAAUAGACAGAUUUUGUAACAGGAAUAUUUUAGGUCCAGAAGAUGGGGCCAGUGAAGAUGAAUUACAAUUUAUUGACUGGGAGAUCGACAGUGACAGGGAAGAUGGUAGUGAAUGUAAUGAAUGUGAAGAUGGUGAAGAUGCUGUGGAAAUCUCAGAUUGUGCUUCUUGUGCAAGCUGUCACUCUUUGACAAGUGAUGAGAAGCCAUCUGAGCUUCCUGAGCCAAUUUCUGCAGAAAUUUUGGAAUAUUCAUCACAUAGUGAGAAAGAAGAUGACUCAGAGGAUGUCCUAUUCAUUGAUUCAGAGUCCCCUCACAAAUACCACAUGGAUUUUGGACUGGAUACAAGGCAGAUAAUGGACAGACUGGUCAACCCAAGGGUGAGAUCAACAGAGCCCGUCUUGUGUACACCCCAGAAACAGACAGCCAAGCUUCCUAGGACUCCAGAAGAUUCAGCAAAGAAGAAGAAACUUUUAAGAGGCGGAUUAGCAGAAAGACUAAAUGGACUGCAAAAUCGAGAGAGAUCUGCCAUUUCUUUGUGGAGACAUCAGUGUGUUUCAUAUGAAAAGACUCUUUCAGGUAGAAAAUCUGGUAUAUUAAUUGUGAAAAUUCUAGAGCUACAUGAGGAAUGCACCAUGCAAGUUGCCACGUGUGAGCAGUUAUCAGGCCCACCAUCCCCCAUCCCUUCCCAAGGUGUGACCCCUGGGCCUGGAGCCAAUCUAAAGGUUCUCUUUACUCGGGAGACUGCAGGCUACCUCCAGGGGCAUCCCCAGGACAUCAUCCAUAUUUUCCCUCCCUGGCACAAACUUAUUAUCCCAAAUGGAAGUUGUCCUGUUAUUCUGAAUACUUACUUUUGUCAGAAAUUUGUUGUCAAAGAAGACCCAGAAACAACUCAAGAGGUGUACUGUCGGGAUAUACCCAUUCCGAGAAGAAACAUCACUUUGGCUCAGAUGUUUAGAAUUAAGGAUAUAACAGAUAAUUCACCUGAAAUCCAGGUUGUACAUAGUGGCCCAGCCACCACAAGUACAGGCUGGCCCCAUGGGCAUGAAGAGGCAAAGCAGUACCUCACAGCUGGCACUUCCUCAAAGGAUUCUCUCCUGGAUGUGGUGGAAAGCAAGGGAGCUGCCCCGUAUUCAGAAGUGGGUAUUCGAGUUGUGGUACAGAGAGUUUACUUCCUUCCUGGCAGAGACAGCUCCAGAGGCCAGCAGGGGAAUGGCUCAGGGUAUACAGACCAACCAGGAACUCGGGAUCGAACUCAGAUCCUUGCACUUGUGAGGCAGGCGGCAGAACCACUGAGAGUCUGCCUUCUGGUGCAAGAUGCCUAUGGAAUCUUUGGUGAAGUGCACUUGGAGUAUGCCGUCUUGACGGACAGAGAGUUGGAAGGACACUCCUGCAGUCUGGUGGGCUUGAAGGUUCUACAGAAGGCCACCAGAGGAAGGACACCAGGGCUCUUCAGUUUGCUUGACACUCUGUGGCCCCCAGUAAUGCCUCUUAAAGGCUCUGGCUACAGUGAACCCUGCAAAGAGGUGAAAACUCAUCUGCCUCCCCCUGCCUUCUGUUACAUCUUCUCAGCUCAUCCUAGUCUGGAACAUAUUGAUAUCACUGAAGAAGACCCCAUGUCUAAGCUUUAUCAGCCUCCAGUUCUCCACUGCUUAAGAGAAAUUCUCUGGACUCACCAUCUGGGUGCCCGGUGCAGUUUCUACGCCAGGGUGAUUUAUCAAAGACCACAGCUGAAGAGUCUGCUUCUUUUGGAGCAAAGGGAGAUAUGGCUGCUUGUGACUGACAUCACCCUGCAAACGAAGAAUCAGAGUGGCCCCCACCUUCCCAAAACCCUGCCAGUCUGUGUGGCUCCCUCAUGUAUGCUGUGCCCGGAAAUUCUGGAAGCACUUACCAUGGGCACGCCUCUCAACAUCUUCUUCAAGGAUGCUCUCAGAGACCAGGGUCGGAUUGUUUGUGUUGAACGGACUGUCCUCUUACUGCAAAAACCCCUUUUGUGUGUGGCCUCUGGUGCUGACUCCUGUGAGCUGACUGGCCCAGUGACACUGGAUGAACUGGACUCCUUCACCCCUGUCAACUCCAUUUGUAGUGUGCAAGGCACUGUGGUCGGUGUGGACGAGAGUACUGCUUUCUCCUGGCCUGUAUGUGACCAGUGCAGCAACGGGCGACUGGAACAAAGGCCAGAACACAGAGGCGCCUUCUCCUGUGGGGACUGUUCCCGGGUGGUCGCGUCUCCCAUUCUCAAGAGGCAUCUGCAGAUCUUUCUGGACUGCCCUGCAAGGCCCCAUUGCAGCGUGAAGGUCAAGCUGUUGCAGAGCAGUAUUUCUUCACUGCUGAGGUUUGCCGCCUUCAAGGAUGGGGCUCCCAGGAAGGCAGCCUGGUGCUUCCUCCACGAAGCCCCCAGUGAUGGACAGUGCUUAGCAUCGCCUGCUGAUCCCAACCUUCUUUUAGAGACCUGAAGACCAAGAAGCCCUGGCAGAGAUCCUCCUACCUCCCCUUGGUUUCCCACUGGCUGAGAUGCCUUAUUUCUCCCACACAUUUACCUUCUCAACUAGAAUGUUACCAUAGAGUUAUGAAGUGAAGAGUGUCCUCGGAAAGGAGGUGGGGUUGUUAAGUUGUUUUGUCCAGUCCAUAACCACCCGCCCAACCAGCUGCAUCGGACUGGAGGAAAUUGAGCUUCUGCCUGGAGGAACUGUGGAGCGGCGCCUGCCCUGGCCCCGGGACCGGUGA
Molecule: RNA transcript, 3169 nt
Organism: Heterocephalus glaber (naked mole-rat)
Lineage: Eukaryota; Metazoa; Chordata; Mammalia; Rodentia; Bathyergidae
Gene: Spidr
Gene name: scaffold protein involved in DNA repair
Source: RefSeq, a predicted model, not a curated record